Molecule: ribosomal RNA, 433 nt
Filed under: uncultured bacterium
Lineage: Bacteria
Description: partial 16S ribosomal RNA
Rfam family: Bacterial small subunit ribosomal RNA
Source: RNAcentral
AACGAACGCUGGCGGCAUGCCUAACACAUGCAAGUCGAACGAGACCUUCGGGUCUAGUGGCGCACGGGUGCGUAACGCGUGGGAACCUGCCCUUAGGUUCGGAAUAACUCCCCGAAAGGGGUGCUAAUACCGGAUAAUGUCUUCGGACCAAAGAUUUAUCACCUUUGGAUGGGCCCGCGUUGGAUUAGCUAGUUGGUAGGGUAAAAGCCUACCAAGGCGACGAUCCAUAGCUGGUCUGAGAGGAUGAUCAGCCACACUGGGACUGAGACACGGCCCAGACUCCUACGGGAGGCAGCAGUGGGGAAUAGUGGACAGUGGGCGAAAGCCUGAUCCAGCAAUGCCGCGUGAGUGAUGAAGGCAUUAGGGUUGUAAAGCUCUUUUACCCGGGAUGAUAAUGACAGUACCGGGAGAAUAAGCUCCGGCUAACUCCGUG